RNAcentral lists this ribosomal RNA (497 nucleotides) under uncultured bacterium. Its description in RNAcentral is "partial 16S ribosomal RNA". It matches the Rfam family "Bacterial small subunit ribosomal RNA", at positions 28 to 507 of the family's 1533-position model. The record is from RNAcentral.
GAUGAACGCUGGCGGCGUGCCUAAUACAUGCAAGUCGAGCGGACAGAUGAGGAGCUUGCUCCUCGGACGUUAGCGGCGGACGGGUGAGUCACACGAGGAUCACGUACCUAUCAGACUGGGAUCACUUCGGGACACCGGAGCAAAUACGGGAUGAUAUAUUGAAGCGCAUGGUUGAAUAGUGAAUGACGGUUUUGGGGGCACUUAUAGAUGGUUCCGCGCCGUAUUAGCUAGUUGGUAAGGUAACGGCGUACCAAGGGGACUAUGCGUAUCCGAGGUGAGAGGGGGGUCGGCGACACUGGAGCGGAGACACGGUCCUUACUCCUACGGUAGGCAGCAGUAGGGAAUCUGCCGCAAUGGGCGGAAGCCUGACGGAGCAAGGGCGCGUGAGUUGUGAAGGUGUUCGGAUCGGAAAGCUCGGUUAUUAGGGAAGAACAAAUGUGGAAGUAACUAUGCACUGCUUGACGGUACCUAAUCAGAAAGCCACGGCUAACUACGUG